GGCUCUUGAGGAUAUCCUUAACAAAAAAUUUAUGAGGGAAAAAUUCAAUAGAAACGUUAUUCUGAGAUAUAAAACCAUGAACAGAAAGAAUAUUACGAUUAAUAACAUGAGAACAAAGAAUAUCAUUAACAAAGAACUGAACAUCAUUAUAAGACAUGUGAGAAGAACCUUAAUGAGUAAUAAGUAAGGUAGUACCAUUGCCAAGAAGGACUUCGUCAGUGCCAAUAUACGCAAAAGAGAGUUGGUCAGACAUCCACGAUCGACCGUGAUUGAUAAUUGGCUCCUGAGUCAAUUGUCCAGGACUCUUCUGGCAUGGUAGUAGUGGGGGAAAAUUGGAUGUAGGCUUUGGAUGGUUGGG
Molecule: unclassified non-coding RNA, 358 nt
Filed under: Hevea brasiliensis (rubber tree)
Lineage: Eukaryota; Viridiplantae; Streptophyta; Magnoliopsida; Malpighiales; Euphorbiaceae
Source: RNAcentral